CAUCUGGGGGACAGAGACCAGAACAGACUGAGAGCAGGGCAUGCAGGGGAACUUAAGACUGAUCCACAUCUGAAGGAGCUGCUGCUGGGUUCUUAAGACGAUCAGAUAUCCAGACAUGGACCACAUAUGGAAAAGGGCUUGUAGUUACCGUAGGAAUGAUCCAGCAGAGGGUUGGACAUGUUGGGGACAUAACCUUCAGGAGCAGCCUCUAUUUCCUGUUGGCACCGAGCACCGAUGAUGAUGAUGGGGGGGUUAACGGCAGGCAGAGCCAGGCACCACGGGCAGCAGCCGGGCUGGACGCCAGCAGCAGCCAGCGAUGCAAAAUCUGACCCGGAAUAAAGAGAGAGGCCAGGGUCAGGCUGGGACACGGCGCUCGGGCCGACACCCUCCACAACCUCUGGGCUUGAGUCUGUCUGGGAGCGAAGCCAGAAACAGAGCUCUGAAUCAGUGAUGGAUGAGCUUCACUCUGUGGACAUUAAUCAGGUUAUCAGAGUCUGACCACAAGAGCUGCUGUCUGUUUCACUGCCACUAGAACCAGUGGUGAAAUGUAUCUAAUACUUUUACUCAAGUACAAAGUCAAGGUGGCCUACUUGUACUUUUUACUUCACAACAUUUGUCUGACAGCUUUAGUUACUUCACAAACUCAUAUAUGUCAUUCUCUGAAAAAUUCCCAAUUCUCACAAAAAAAUAGUUUUUAAGCUUGCAUGAGGUGGUAUUUCAGGUGAUUUGAA
Molecule: non-coding RNA, 731 nt
Organism: Plectropomus leopardus (leopard coralgrouper)
Lineage: Eukaryota; Metazoa; Chordata; Actinopteri; Perciformes; Serranidae
Source: RefSeq, a predicted model, not a curated record